RNAcentral lists this ribosomal RNA (441 nucleotides) under Triticum aestivum (bread wheat). RNAcentral describes it as "partial small subunit ribosomal RNA". The record is from RNAcentral. Lineage: Eukaryota; Viridiplantae; Streptophyta; Magnoliopsida; Poales; Poaceae.
AUGUUUUCUCUUACUUUGGACAAUGCAUCUUCAAAUGAAGUUUGUGUUAAACAUGUCAUUAGUAAACUGAAAGAGUAUUCCCCUCUAGUAUGUGAUGGUGAAUUCUUUCAUGUGAGAUGUGCAAAUCAUGUUCUUAAUCUGGUUGCUAGAGAUGGUCUUGAUCAGAUUUCAAAUGCAGUUUCGGGUGUUAAGGCAUUUGUUUUGGCAGUAAAAUCAUCGCCUUAGUUGGAGGAGGAAUUAUAUAAGUGUGCAUCUGAGUGUGGGUUGUCCACAGAAAAAGGUCUACGGCUGGAUGUCCAAACAAGGUGGAAUUCUACAUACCACAUGUUGAGUGAUGCCCUAUAUUAUAAGAAGGCCUUUGAUAGGUUGCAUGAGAUUGACAAAAGGAAGUUUGACAAGUUUGCUCCAACAGCUGAUGAUUGGGACAAGGCGCUUACCCUU